AGUGAACGCUGGCGAUAGGCCUAACACAUGCAAGUCGAACGGCAGCACAGUAAGAGCUUGCUCUUACGGGUGGCGAGUGGCGGACGGGUGAGGAAUACAUCGGAAUCUACUUUUUCGUGGGGGAUAACGUAGGGAAACUUACGCUAAUACCGCAUACGACCUACGGGUGAAAGCAGGGGAUCUUCGGACCUUGCGCGAUUGAAUGAGCCGAUGUCGGAUUAGCUAGUUGGCGGGGUAAAGGCCCACCAAGGCGACGAUCCGUAGCUGGUCUGAGAGGAUGAUCAGCCACACUGGAACUGAGACACGGACCAGACUCCUACGGGAGGCAGCAGUGGGGAAUAUUGGACAAUGGGCGCAAGCCUGAUCCAGCCAUACCGCGUGGGUGAAGAAGGCCUUCGGGUUGUAAAGCCCUUUUGUUGGGAAAGAAAAGCAGCAGGUUAAUACCCCGCUGUUCUGACGGUACCCAAAGAAUAAGCACCGGCUAACUUCGUG
Molecule: ribosomal RNA, 492 nt
Filed under: uncultured bacterium
Lineage: Bacteria
Description: partial 16S ribosomal RNA
Rfam family: Bacterial small subunit ribosomal RNA
Source: RNAcentral